UCCCAAACUGGGAUUAGAUACCCCACUAUGCUCAGCCCUAAACAUAAAUAAUUCACACAACGAAAUUAUCUGCCAGAGAACUACUAGCAACAGCCUAAAACUCAAAGGACUUGGCGGUGCUUUACAUCCCUCUAGAGGAGCCCGUUCUAUAAUCGAUAAACCCCGAUAAACCUCACCACUUCUAGCUAAAUCAGUCUAUAUACCGCCAUCUUCAGCAAACAAA
This 223-nucleotide ribosomal RNA is filed under the name Galictis cuja (Lesser grison). RNAcentral's name for it is "partial small subunit ribosomal RNA". The record is from RNAcentral. Lineage: Eukaryota; Metazoa; Chordata; Mammalia; Carnivora; Mustelidae.